AAUACUAUUUUUCUACAUUUUCAAUUGCUAUGUAAAUUCUGCCCCAUAGUGGUGGCUGGCAGAGAUGUGUUCAUGUCUAAUGUCGAAAUGGUUAGUUUCACUUUUUGCGUCAGAAAUCGUAAAAUUGGAUAUAAAAUUUUACGAGCGUGUGGCUGGGCCUCGUCUCAGAUCUUGGGGCUCGUCCCUCUUGGACUCUUGAGUGUUCGGUUAGCUCUCUCGUCCUGCGUGGGCAUUCAGCCUGGACCUACACACCAACACACACACGUACAGGCUCGUCAGAGAAUUUGUCCUGGCAAUGGUCGCCUGUUUUUGGUCACGGCACAAAUUUUGACGCUUGACUAGCAAUGGCAGCUAAAAAUGGAGCCAAAAUUGUAGCUGAAGCUGUAGCAGUAUCUUUAGCCUGUAGAUGUAUCUGUAUCUGUGGCUGAUGCUGAAGUGGCAGCCGAAGACGAAAAGCGACGACAGCGGCACUUUGUUUGUGGUAAUAAAUCAUUUAUGCAAGUUGCUGUGGCCGUUUGCGUUGAAACACAAA
This 532-nucleotide small RNA is filed under the name Drosophila ananassae. Its description in RNAcentral is "GF26320". The record is from RNAcentral. Lineage: Eukaryota; Metazoa; Arthropoda; Insecta; Diptera; Drosophilidae.